Molecule: long non-coding RNA, 611 nt
Organism: Sinocyclocheilus rhinocerous
Lineage: Eukaryota; Metazoa; Chordata; Actinopteri; Cypriniformes; Cyprinidae
Exons: 3
Source: RefSeq, a predicted model, not a curated record
CUGUGUUUUAUCAAAAAGCGCCUGCUAAUUCAUCCUCUGUUGUGCUAAUGAGGUGAAUCAUGCGACACUCGAAGGUUACUAAUCGCUUUUUCGAGUCUCACUUAAUUCACAAAGGAAACUGUCACAUUACAUCUGUUGUCAAUUAAAUAGCCGCUCUCAACUUUGAUCGUGAACUCGGUGUAAGCGGAGACGGUUCUUCCACGCAGAUAUGACGUGAAUUAUUGACGAAGCGUUUCAUCGUGCUGUAAUGAGAAUCUUCUGAGGCGCCGCCAACUGCUUUUUCCAAUGGAAUCUCCCUGUCAGCCAAUCAGAUGCUUCCAUUCAGCCGCCGUUUCCACUCUCGGGUUGCUCAUUGGGCAAGACAGCUGUCAAUCAUCUUAUCAGGUGGAAAAUCAGGUGGAUAAUCAUGACACUAAUUGAGUGAUGGCUUGCUUUGGUUUCACCACUAAACAUUGUGGAUCAAGCUCAAGGGGGUCUCUGUCAUGGAAAUCCACCCCGCUGCCAGCGGGACCCCACUGAAACUUUCAUAAGCGUUCAGUUCCAGGUUGCCCUUCUUGGCAGGCGGUACGCCUCUCUUCACGGGAUAUCCCAUCCGCACCGGCAGAGGAACG